Molecule: ribosomal RNA, 431 nt
Filed under: uncultured bacterium
Lineage: Bacteria
Description: bacterial SSU rRNA
Rfam family: Bacterial small subunit ribosomal RNA
Source: RNAcentral
UACGGAAGGCAGCAGUGGGGAAUAUUGGACAAUGGGCGAAAGCCUGAUCCAGCCAUGCCGCAUGAGUGAAGAAGGCCUUCGGGUUGUAAAGCUCUUUUAGUGAGAAAGAUAAUGACGGUACUCACAGAAGAAGUCCUGGCUAACUCCGUGCCAGCAGCCGCGGUAAUACGGAGAGGGCUAGCGUUAUUCGGAAUUAUUGGACGUAAAGAGCGCGUAGGCUGAUUAGUAAGUUAAAAGUGAAAUCCCAAAGCUUAACUUUGGAAUUGCUUUUUAAAACUGCUAGUCUAGAGAUUGAAAGAGGAUAGAGGAAUUCCUAGUGUAGAGGUGAAAUUCGUAAAUAUUAGGAGGAACACCGGUGGCGAAGGCGUCUAUCUGGUUCAAAUCUGACGCUGAGGCGCGAAGGCGUGGGGAGCAAACAGGGAUUAGAUACC